This 378-nucleotide long non-coding RNA is filed under the name Malus domestica (apple). RNAcentral's name for it is "long non-coding RNA (MDOM_LNC003636)". Lineage: Eukaryota; Viridiplantae; Streptophyta; Magnoliopsida; Rosales; Rosaceae. The record is from RNAcentral.
GAGAACCUAUUCAGUUGGAAUUACAAUGUAAUUCGAUCCUUCUCUAAAACAAUACUCUCAAUCACACUAUUAGGGUAUGGAUAUAUUAUGUCAAACCCCUAAUGUGAUUAUUCCAUGUUAUAUGAUUCAAUUGAGUCCUAUAUGAACGCUUUCCUUUAUUACACUCGAUACUUCGGCCGAAGAUUCCCGAAUCAUAUCUUAGAGUAUUCAUCCUCUCAUAACGAGGAUUAGAGAUCCCUUGUUGCGCAUUUACUUGCCUCCAUGGCUAAGUGGAUUAACCCCAACUAUGUCGUGGACACCUGCGGAUGGAGUGACUUUGACAUAAUCAAAGAUCAAGGACCUAACCACAAGACAACUAUGAUGCCUCAGGUCAAAGGA